This 7440-nucleotide long non-coding RNA is filed under the name Homo sapiens (human). Its description in RNAcentral is "HSALNT0406922". The record is from RNAcentral. Lineage: Eukaryota; Metazoa; Chordata; Mammalia; Primates; Hominidae.
AUUGAGAUGCUAAAAUGAGAGAGCUAAAUUGGAAAGCUUUUUCCACAUAGGGGGCCGUGAGCAGGUGGCUGUUUUGUCCUCUGGCACCUUUGGCUCAGACUUAAGCAGCUUCAACGACCGCCAAGAUGCCUGCCAUGCCCACCAAGAUUUAAAGGACUCUGAUAAUUCUUUCUCUCCCCAAACGGUGUUUUCCUUAUCUAAUCCUAAUAACCAAGCCUGGAGGAAUCCCUGACUUCGUGAUUGAAGGCUCUCCAGGUCCCCUAGUUUAAGGGCAGAGAUUUACUUUCUCUGAGGCUACAAAGGAGCGUCUGCGAGAAUGUCUCUACCUUAGACAAAACAGGGAGGAGGGGUGGAGCUCUCCAAAUUGCCUCUGGUUUGGGCUUUUUCUUUCUGUUUUGGUGUAUCGUCUCUGGCCAACAACACCUGUGAGUCCUUGAUGUGACGAUUAGGGAAGAUGUUUUUAAUUCACAUAACUAUUCUUUAGAGAAAAUUGAUCCUGAAACACCUUAUUGCCUUAUCGUAGAAUGACUGCAUUACUCAGAAUUCUUUACCUCUACCGGAAUUUAGUGAAGGGAAGGCACAACGUACAUUAGGAAAAUACAGGACACACUCCAGUCCUUAAACCUUCCACAAUCUUCUAGCUCUUUAAGGUCGAGUGUGAUCCUCCCCAGAACUGCAUCUUCCAGGAAGCUCAUGAGAAAGGAAGGAUCCCAGGUCCCAUCUCUGAUCUGAGUCGGCAUCUGCGUUUUAACAGAAUCCUGAAGCAGUGGUCUAACUCCUUUGGUGGUGUUAUUGUUUGCAUGUAUACCUCCAAAAUUCACAUAUUGAAAUACUAACCCCCAAGGUGAUAGUAUUAGGAGGUGGGGCCUUUGGGAGGUAAUUAAGUCAUGAGGGUGAAGCCCUCAUGAAUGGGAUUAGUACUCUUAGAAAAGGGACCCCAGAGAGGUCUCUUUCCACCAUGUAAGGAUAAAAGUACACGGAGAAGAUGGCAAUCUGCAAACUGGAAAAGGGCCCUCCUCAGAACCUGACCAUCUUGGCACCUUGAUCUCAGACUUCCAUCUUCCAGAACUGUGAGAAAUAAAUUUCUUUUAUAAACACUCAGUCAAUGCUACUUUAUUAUAGCAGCCUGAAUGGAUUAAGACAGGUGGUCUGGUUUAAAGUGAUGUGGUGGCAUCAGAAGUUUAAGGAGAGACUGGAUUUACAGAACCAGAAUCUGGGAUGCUGUUUACAGAGCAAGUUAUUUCCUGCAUUUGGACACUGUCAGCAGGUCGAUUCAGGAGACAGGUGAAAACUUUAUCACCGGGCAGCCUGGAUGAACACCACAACUUUGAUAUCUUUCACUUAAAGGAAAGAUAAGGGCAUCCACUAUUUCUACACCUGGCUGGCAGAGUGAGAGCUCACCAAAGCACUUACAAAUUCAUGGACUAUUAUGAAGACAAGUUAAGAGAUUGUGUCCUCCAAACUCAUCAUUUUUCAGGUGAGGACACAAUGAGAGGCACCAUCUACAAAGCAGAGAGCAGACUUCACCAUAUACCAAAUCUGUCUGUGCCUUGAUCUUGGAUUUCUCAGCCUCCAGAAUUGUGAGAAAUAAAUUUAUAUUAUGUAUAAAUUAUACCAUCUAAGAUGUUUGGUUAUAGCCGCAGAUAGGGAUUGAGACUCUCACCAUUGGCAGGGCACUGCACCCUGGACUUGUCACAUAUCAUGAUGUCUGAUUUUUGUGAUAACUGAGUGAGGUUGGCAUUGAUGUUGGCCAACCAACCGUUGACCAACUAAUUUGAGUCUGCUCAAGGUCCCCAGAGUGAGUGAGUGGCAGAACUGUGAAGGAAACCCGUUUUCCUUCAAUUCCAUAGUCUGGGAUCUUGGUGGCCAUGCCAUUUUGCCCUCUGAUAUUAUUUGGAAAUAGGGGAAGAUCAUAGGUUUUAGACCCAGAAAGAGAUGUGUUUGAAUCUUGGCUCUGCUUCUAAUGCAAAUUCUGACCCAAACUCACUACGUCUGAAGUGCUUGCACAUGGGAAGCACCCCAUUACCAUGUGCUUCUUUGAAUAUCAAAUUAUAUUUGUUUAGACAUUAGGAGGUGGUGUUUAUGUAUGGCAAGAUAUUUGUGUAAUAUAUUUAUUCAAAAUACAAAAUAUUUACAGGACCCAGAAGGCUCAUUCAUUUUGUACUAAAAACUACUGACCAAUGGAGAUAUUCCAAAUACACAAUUGCAUCUCACAUCAUGACUUAUAUGCUUUAAAUGAGUUAAACUUGAAUCACUUUAGUAUAUGAACAUUUUGAUCAGCCAGUGAAGCUUUCCAUAAAUGCUAUCAGAUGCUAGACUGGUGAAAAGAUAUAGACAUUAGAGUGAGUAUUGGCCUAUAUACUGGAAAUGUAUUAUGUUAUUAUGAAUUUAUUCUCAUCAAAAUUACCCCUCUUGGCAAAUUCAGCACAUGAUGUCACAUAUAUUACCAGAGGGCCAUUUUCUUUCCAGAGAUAACUAUAAGAUAGAUCAGAAAUAAAAUGAGAGUUGUGAGCGGUCAGGUACAGUAUAAUUCUAUUGGGUAACAUUUCUUUUGAAACACGAGUAUAUAAUAUGAUCAGGGCAAUCAUUUUUAUUAACGAAGAUAGUUUCAUUUUUAUGCUUCCAAUCAUUGCUAUGCUUCUUAAUAGGCUUGGGGUUAUUUUUUUCUUUCUAAAGUGAAGAAAAUGUAUUUCUUCUCCAUUGUUUUACUGAAAUGCAUAAUAUGUGGAAAUAUGUAGGUCAGUAAGAUUCUGGGAAAAAAAUAAACAUAAUAGAUUUUUGCCUCCUUUCUUAAAAAUGCCUUUACAAUUGUUUUGUUGUUGCUAAAAUGGAACAUUUUACAACAUUCUACAUAAGGGAUAAAGUAAGUUUUCAAAAUUAUCAUCAUGUUUUAGACAUAGCAUGCAUAUACUGUACAAAUCUUUUAAGUAAAAUUCGUUUUAUUGCUGCUUCAAUAAAGCUGUUUUCUUCUACCCUACCACUGGCUUACCUUUGAAUCCUUGGCAAAGCCAAAAAUCCUGAAAGGCUAAGCCCCACUUUGGGACUCGCCUGUCCUGCAUCAAAUUCACUCUCCCAGUAGCCAUAUGUGAGAAUUUCAGUCACUCCACAGACAUGUGCAAAUACAUGGGAUUGUCAAUCGUUUCACAAUUUCAUUCAUUCUGGUAGCUGGGCAGUAGCAUGUCGUUAUGGCUUUAACUUAUAUUUUCCUGAUAAGGAAUGCUGUUGAGUAACUUUCCAUAUGCUUAUGGGCCAGUCAGAAAUCUUUAUUUGGAAAUGGUCUGUCUAAAUCUUCUGAAAAUGUUUAAUCGAGUUGUCUUUUUUGUACUAAUUUAUAGGAUUUCUUAAUAUAUUCUAAAUAUCAGUCCUCUGGAGACUAUAAUGUCUCAUUCGUUAUCAUAUCCUUUAACUCUCUUAGUGAUGUCUAGUGAUGAGCAAAGUUUUUUAAUUUUAAUGAUAACCAAUUUAUCAGUUUUUUAUGCCUAGUAAUUUUUGUGUUCUCUUUAAAAAUUGUUGUAUAUCCCAAGCUCAUAAACAUAUUCUUCUUGUUUUUUUCUAUAAGUUUUAUAAUUCGUAUUUUACAGAUCAUCUGUGACCUAUUUCAUAUUAAUUUAUUUGAAGUAGAGGUAAAACUUUAUUUUUAAAAUAUUGAAAUCCAAUGGAACCAACAACACCUAUUUAAGCAACCAUUCUUUCCCGCCAAUGAAUUGCUGUAACACUUUUUCAUAAAUAUGUCGACUGCAUAUAUGGGAUGUACUCUAGAUUCUAGACUCUGUUUUCUAUGUAUCUUUUAGUGUAUUCUUGUGCUACUAUCUUGAUUACCAUAGCUUCGUUGUAAUUCUUGAUAUCUGGUAAAUUAAGUAUUUGGCCUUUGUUUUUCUUCAAGGCUACCUUAGCUGCUUUUUAGGUACUUCGGCUUUGGAUAUAAAUUUUACAAGUCAGUUUCACAAUUUCCACAAAAUCUUUGGUAAAAUAUUGAUAGGGAUUGCACAAGCUUGGAAAAAUGGGUAUCUUAAAAAUAUUGGGUCCUCCAGACUAUAAACAUGAUAUAUUUCCGUAUGUAGGCCUUUAAUUUCUCUGAGCAUUUUUGUUGUUGUUUCCUGUGUAGAAGUGUCACAUAAUUAACUAGAUCGAUUUAUGUGUACAUGUGAAUUCAUUUAUUUAUUUGUUCCCUUACAUUUAAAUUUCUAACUCAUUGUUCCUUGUAUCAUUGUCAGGUUUUACUAAAUUAUGAAAGAACUAUUUGACCCCAAUCCUUGGUCAAGCCAAUAAUAGCAGAAGUAAUUUUUAAACUCUUUCCUCACUCCACAAACACCAACGUAUAUAGAUAACAUUCUACAUCCAUCUUCUUUUCCGUUCUCACAUGUUUUCCCAUGCAUUUCAGAUGCAACUGUUUCUCAGCAAUUUUUUACCAUACUCCCAUGAUGGAACUUCAGUCAUAUCCCUCACCAAUUCAACCAUACACCAUUUCAGGAUUAACCAUUAUUAAAUAUCACCUUCAGCAUAGCAUUUUCUUACCAGAUCUUCAUCUCUUCCUCAUAUUUUCCAUCAAUUAUGUGUCAAAGCUGCACUCUUUCCAGCCCUGCGUCUUCCUCUUCCUCUUCCUCUAUGUGUACUUUGGACACCAAGUCAAACCAGCCACCUUAACAGACCUUAAACAUUACCUUUGCUUAGGCUGCUUAGUGCCUCUGGACUCCCGCUUCUCCCUUGAUUCCUGUCUCUUCUAGUAUCCAUCCCUCAAGAAACAUGGAAGUCAAAAUUGGGUUUUAAAUAAGAUAAUUUACUAGCCCUCAACCAAACACAAUCAAUUGAUUCUUUGAAACCAUAUUGUUCUUUUGAGGGUACAUUUUUUUAGUAUACCCUGGUAGGCUACUAUUUGAGGAGAUAUUUCCCUUCAACCUUCUUCUGACAUUGUUUGGUUUAUCUUUGUAUCCUUAAAAGCAUUCAGCACAGUCUUUGGUUCAUGGUUGAUACUUAAUAAAUAUAUGUUGACUUAAAUCUAAUUUUAAUAGAUCCAAGUAGAAAAGCAUAAUACAGUCGUGCUAUCUUUUCUGCUUGAGUUAUGUCAGCCAUGGGAUCCUGAGAAGACCUUUUGAAGUGCUAAAAUGAAAAAUAGGCAAAACUCCAUUCUGCUCUAGCUAGAGGAUCAUUAAAAAAUUCAGACCCUUCACUUUUUUAAAGCAUAUAAUUUAUGUGCAUUAUAAAGCAACCCUUUGUUUUCACAAGUCAACAUUCUUAAUGCAGUCUGUCAAAGUGCAUUCUCAGUAAAUUGCUUUGAUGAAUAUGCCAGCUCAGUCCAUUUCUUUUAACCUGAAGAGAGAAAGAAAGAUUUUAAAAAAGACUUUUGCAGCAGCAAAAAAGAAAGUAAAUAAAACAGAUCUAGACUUUGCUGCAUAUUUUUAUGUCCAAGCUUGCAAAUAAUUUCCCUUAACACUCUCAUGAGUCAGAACUCUGCCUCCAAAUUUGUAAUUCAAAAGCCUUGUUUUUGUUUUAGAACAGAUAGAGAGUGCCAGUUUCUGCUUCUGCCCCACACACUCACCCAUGAACAGGUCCUGAACAUGCACAGACUUGAUAUGGUUUUUAAAACACAGAUGGGAAAGCCAUCCUCAGUUUGACACACCUAAGCUCCAGCACUUCAAGGUAGUAAGUAAACAAUUCUUUCUUUUCUAGAGACCCUCACUGCAAAAUCUCACCCGGAAGACUUCAAGGACUGGAUAUUGAAAUUGUAUCACAAUCCUACAAGAUAAAUGCACAAGAUAAUUCUUCAAAUCAUUGAGAGUGUAAUCUAUAAUCUUCCUAAACAACGAACAGUAUAGCACUGGUUAAGGAAAUCAUAUAUCAGCAUAAAGAAAUGUCAACAAGAACUAAGAAGGAUCCAGUUCUGAAUCUCGUUAGCAAGUUCAAAGCAAGGCCAAGAAGAUGCAAUUCCCACUGGAAACCUUAUGAGACAGUUAGAAGGGAAGGGGAGCAAAUGUUCACCAGGUGAGCACUGGAACGCAGCCACUGCACAAAUGCAAUCCUGUUCUAUUCUCACAGCAAUCUUCCAUGAGAAGUAUUUAUUACUAUACAUGAAGAAACUCAAGCUCUCCAUCAUUAGGUCACUGUCCAAUAUCACACAGCUGCAUAUAACAGGUUUGAAUUCAAUUUCCUCUGUGUCCAACUGAAAAUCCCACAAUUUCCACUCACGGCAUCCUCCCACCCAGUGCAGGUUUGGUGCAAAAACGUAGGACACAGGAGAGGAAAUUGAGUUUAGGUAAGACUCAGAAAAUUGACGAGUUUUCAAAUUAGGAGAGGCAUGAAAUGAAGAGGAGAAGGAGCAGCUGGGAGCGUGGAGAAGCAUAAACUCCGAAAUAACUGGCUAAGGAAAAUGGGGAUGCACAGACUGUGGCAUAGAAGCACUGAAGAGGGGAGGCAUGGAUUGGAAUGAUACAGGCUGUGUCAAUAUAGGGUCUGUCACAAACAAGCUAUGUAAAUGUGAGAAAAUUAACCACUCUAACUUCACAUUCCCCCUAUGGAAAAAAAAAGGGGGGGGGGCAGGGGCUAAGGAUGUCUAUUUCAAACCAUGUGGCAAUUAAAUAAAACAAUCUAUGUAACUCUAGUAGCCUCAUGGUUGGCACAUUACAUGCAUUAAAAUGCACAUUUCUCUCCCUUUCAUGGAAUCCCCUGAUGCAUCCCCGAACCUUUCUCGGUAGGAUUUGGAAUGUGCAUGCACAGAUUGCGGAUAGAUAGACUGCCACCCUCGUCAUUGCAGAAGGAAACUUGUGAGUUAUGCCCAGUGCAAUUCUUUCCAACUCUGAUUCCACUGUGGUUACUGCUGAUGGACUCUAGGUGGCCACAGAUGAUACAAACAUGUUCCCAUGGAGCCUCAUGUCAUCCUGACAUGCUGUUCCAGUCUAAGGUAACUGCUGUUCUUCAGUUUAGAAAAGGAGCAACUGUUUUGGAUACAUUUUCAGUGCCAGAACUCUUUCUCCACUGCCUUAGACUUCUCAGUGGUGAAGUGAGAAGGAGUUUUGACAGCUACAGAGCAACAUUUCCAAACGAGAAAAGAAAACAAGGCAAACUUUUUAUAAAUUAUUCAAAUAAUAUGUUAAAUUCAAGGAAAAGAAAAUUUCCAUUUUAUGGUGAAGACUGAUGUUUCCUAAGUCUAUUGGUAAGCUGAGAAACUGCUCUGUGAGCUCUUUCAUUGAAAAUAUUGAAUGACCACAGCUGUUAAAUCUUGCUAAAGGUGUCCUCAGUUCACACUACAACAUGCUUGGGUGCAGGGUCUGGAAGCAAUGACAAAUCAGUGAGACUCCAACACUGAGCUGAAAUGUUCUGUUUUUGCAGUGACAUCAGACCUUAUUAUUGCCCCUGUCUUCCUUCCGUCCUUCCCUCUCCAGGUGUAACUACUAACCCUUACUUGACUUAUAUUACCUCUAUAUGAACUUUCAUACUUUUUUUUUU